CAGAAGCCCAUUGCUACUAAUUUAGUAGAACCCCCUGGCAAUAUAUACAACAUUCAAAUAUUUUACAGAGAGCUUUUUUGCAUGGUUCUCAAAAGAACAAUUUUGUGUUUGGGGAUAGGACCUCAGAAGAAGCAGUUUGUUCUAUCCUCAGGCCAGCCUUGCAGAGAUUUUUACAUUCUAUCCUGACAAAUUUGCUUGUCUGCCCCUUAUGCCCACUUCUUGUCCUUCCAGCACUGAGAUACGCAGAAGGUGCAUAAAGCUACCUUGCUUUGAGUAAACAAACUGCAAUGUUGGAAAGACCCAUGUGGCAAGAAACCUCUAUUCAACAGCCAAUGAGGAAAUGAGGCACGAAAUAUAAUCACACAAGGAACUCAAGGAACUGAAACUGGCCGGCAACCAUGUAUCUAGACAAGGAGAAGCUACACCUACACCCGACAAAAAGGAUAAAUCUUUAGUCUUCCAUCUAAGACUGAGCUAAAUGCAGAGAUCGGAUGGGAAUUUAAGUUGCCACCUAUGUAGGCAGUUUUUAAUAAAAAUGUGGAAAUUGGAGGUGGAGCGAUGUGGCUGAAUAGAAGCCUCCACUGAUUAUCCUCCCCAUAGGAAGAACACAUUUAACAACCGUCUACACAAAAAAGAAACUUCAUACGAACCAAAAAUCAGGAAACCCUGACAACUUCCACACAGCCCAAGAUACAGGAAGGAGUAAAGCCAUUUGUUCAGUUCUGGAUGAUGUUUCAUAUCGUUAACUCCUUGGUGCUAACUAACUGUUGGAAUUCCUCACAUUUAAUGGUCGAUGGCAAGUGUUGCUGAUACGAUGCGCAUUCUGAAUCAAACACCAUCUUGGAUUAAUGAAAAUAUUCCUCAUUGAUGUGAUCAACCUGGUCAGUCUGAUAGCUUACAUUUGCCGUGGCCAUGCCCACGGCAGCUAUAGCAAAUAUUAAGACAAAAUGAAUAAAGUUAGUAAACAUAACUACGAUUCUUGUGAGCAGAACAGCAAAUCAUUUCAAAACUGCAAUUCUGAAAUGUCACUUAAUUAGUAUUUUUUAUAUCACUGUUUAGUCAAACGAUAUGCUUCCUGACUUUCUCAUCUGAAGUAGGAGAGAGCCUCUUAAGAUUCCACGGAUGAAGCUUUAAAGAACUUGUGACAUAUCUCAGUUACUUCUUUGUUAUCUUUUUUAUAUGAGUCUUUAUUUCCCAACAUUUAAAUUUUUAUAAUAUAAAAAUAUUGCUUUUAUAAUUUAGGCAAAAGUAAACAUAUAGCCUUAAAAUAUCACCAUAUAUUCUACUUCAUGGUAGCGCAGCAGAUCAUGCGCCAUCUUCCUUCACUACCUGUUUUCUCCAACAAUCUGUAGUCACAGAAAAGCUCUUGGAGAAACACCUUUCCCUAAGUCAGGUUCAGGUCUGUGACUCUAAACAUCCUUUGAAAAGUGUAGUUGUAUAGAUUAGAUUAUAGAUUAGCGAUCAUCUUUGGGAGUACAGCAUUAACAGCACAUAAGCAAGUAUUAGAAGAGACACCUUUCUCAUCGAUAUUUAAAGACCGUGAGCUUCCCCAACACAAAUGAAAAUGUUAAAUCAGUUUGGUUGAACUGAUGUUUGAUUUUAAACUAGCUCCACUAUUUCCAUUGGCAUCUUACUCCAAAAACAGGGAUUUGGUACAGGAUGAAGGUCCUGUCACUUGCUGGAUAAGUUUUACUGGUUUACAUAACAAUAAAUAAGGCUACAUUCUAUAGCUCUUUUAGUACAGCUAAAGAAGUGUGAAUAGUAUUUAUGUUCUCUUCUUUAAGCCAACACUGUAACUUCCACUUGUACAACUGUUUUCAGAACAUUCUGAGAGAUCAUUUUAUUUUCACUGUAAUAAUCAAGAUCAUUCAUCUUAUAAAAAUAUUGCCUGAAAAAAAAAUAAAUAGAAACUGGUCAUUUCUUUUUAUUAUUAAGAAUGGUGGAAGUAGUAGAGAGGCAAAUUGAAUCAGUUAUUUCCUAAUCCCCUUGUUAACAGGGAUGGCAGCAAUGCCCUUAGAACAACUGAGAGGAUAAACAAGCUGAUCUUCAUGGUCCCACCCUCAGAUUUCUACAUAACUUCCUUCACUUAUCUACCAAGUGACAGGACCUUCAUGAAGCACAAUGAUUACCCAGAACCCCUACUCUAGUAGCCUCUAAGGCUUGCCAUCUCUGAAAGUACGCAUUGUAUUGGCUCUGUAAUGUGCCAACUUGCUAGGUCAAACUACAUUUACCAGAAUUCCAUUUUCUUGCAUGUGUCCAGUUAGGGUAGGCUACACGAUAAAUUCUUUCACACUAGUUGGAGGAUGUUAGGAAGGCAGUUGCCAUUUUGCAGUAUGUGUGUAUGUGCAUGCAUAUGUGUGUGCACACAUGCAUACUGCUGCUGGUAUGCUGACUUGCCUCAUUGACAUAAAGCAUCAUUUGGACCUGGGAUUGCUCUCUUCCCCCCUGGAUCUUCCUUCAGUGUCUGAUUUCUGGGCCAGAGGUAUGUGUGCUCAUUCUUACUGCCGUGGUCAGAGGCAACAACAACUAACAACAAAAAACACAGGUUUCAGUCUAUCCUAGUGGAAUUCAAGCCUGCUUGUGAUCUUCCCACCUGACUGCCUGCCUGUGAACUUCAGGCUCUGAUAUUAGAUGAAGAGACAGCUUUGUGGAGACUGCUUAGCCAGAUCUAUAAUGGUGUAAACCGAUUCUCUGUAAAAUAUAUGUGUAUCUAUCUAUAUGUAUGUGUAUACACACAAACUCCACACAUGCACACACCUAAUAGGAUACAUAUAUAAUACCCUACUGCUCUACUUCUCUGGUUGAACUCUGAAUGAUACACGUUAUGCCAAAGUUAUCACUGUCUUCUCCCCUGGUUAAGUAUCCCAUUCUCUCAGUGGAUUGUCUUCUGGGAUUAGGAGGAAAAUGAUUUUAUUAUUUCCCAGUUAAAGCCAUUAACUUGGUAUUUAUAAAAUAUCACAUACCAGGUGCUAAGUAAUGAGGUCCUUUCUGACUUUAUCUCCCAAUCAAUCAUUUCCUUAAACAUACAGCACACUGAAAGUCGUUUCCCAUCUACUAACUGCAGUCUGACGUCCACUGAUAGCCUUCCACUAAAAUUGAUUCCCAGUUUGAAUGGUUAUGUCUUUAUUUUACUAGAUCUUUCUACAUUCUUGGUAUAGCUUACUCUUCCCUCAUUUUGGAAGUCUUUCUCUGCUGGCUUUUUUUACAACCACUUUCCAGCCUCUCUGGAAGGUACUCCCUCCACGCACCUAGGGAAUGUUGGCUGUUUCUCUCAUUCAUCCUCUACUCACACUAUACAUGCAAGAAUGGGCUUACCUACAUCAAACACUUUAAUGACUUUACCACCCAUAUUUACUGACCUUCAAAUCUAAGUCUUUGGCUUGGACCUCUGCCCUCCAUGGACAUCUCCAUUUGGAUAUCCCACAAGCAUCUCACACUCAAUGUGUCAGCAAUUUGAUUAGUCAUAUUUCUCCCCAGAUUGCUCAACCUUCUGAGUUCCUAUCUUGGUAAACAAUAUCUAGCAUUCAUUAAGCACUCAAUAAAUGCUUAUCAGAAAGUGAAUGGAUAAAUAAGCAUGAUUAGAAAAGACAUUUCUUCACUAUUAAAUACUGAGAAUAAAUAAUAGCAGCCCAAUUCGUAUACAAUAGCUUUUUUUCUUUGAGACGGAGUCUCGCUCGGUAGCCCAGGCUGCAGUGCAGUGGUGCAGUGGUGCGAUCUUGCUCACUGCAACCUCCACCUCCAAGCAAUUCUCCUGCCUCAGCCUCCCAAGUAGCUGGGAUUACAGGCAUGUGCCACCACACCCCGGCUAAUUUUUGUAUUUUUAGUAUAGAUGAG
Molecule: long non-coding RNA, 3834 nt
Filed under: Homo sapiens (human)
Lineage: Eukaryota; Metazoa; Chordata; Mammalia; Primates; Hominidae
Description: HSALNT0281213
Source: RNAcentral